UCCCCGCUAGCCCAGAGGUAGAGGCACCGCACAUAGUGAUGGCGGAACAGGGCAGGUUCGAUUCCUGCGCGGGGAAC
This 77-nucleotide transfer RNA is filed under the name compost metagenome. Its description in RNAcentral is "tRNA-Thr". It matches the Rfam family "tRNA". Rfam says of the family: Transfer RNA (tRNA) molecules are approximately 80 nucleotides in length. Their secondary structure includes four short double-helical elements and three loops (D, anti-codon, and T loops). The record is from RNAcentral.